CGAACGCUGGCGGCGUGCUUUACACAUGCAAGUCGAGCGAAUGAGAUCCCUUCGGGGAAGGAUUAGCGGCGAACGGGUGAGGAACACGUGAGGAAUCUGCCUUCAACACUGGGAUAACUCCGGGAAACCGGGGCUAAUACCGGAUACGAGACCUGCAGGCAUCUGCGGGUCUGGAAAGUUUUUCGGUUGAAGAUGACCUCGCGGCCUAUCAGCUUGUUGGUGAGGUAAUGGCUCACCAAGGCGACGACGGGUAGCCGGCCUGAGAGGGCGACCGGCCACACUGGGACUGAGACACGGCCCAGACUCCUACGGGAGGCAGCAGUGGGGAAUAUUGGGCAAUGGAGGGAACUCUGACCCAGCGACGCCGCGUGCGGGAUGAAGGCCUCGGU
RNAcentral lists this ribosomal RNA (389 nucleotides) under uncultured bacterium. Its description in RNAcentral is "bacterial SSU rRNA". It matches the Rfam family "Bacterial small subunit ribosomal RNA", at positions 30 to 423 of the family's 1533-position model. The record is from RNAcentral.